GAUGAACGCUGGCGGCGUGCCUAACACAUGCAAGUCGAGCGAUCUUCUUCGGAAGAGAGCGGCGGACGGGUGAGUAACGCGUGGGUAACCUGCCCUGUACACACGGAUAACAUACCGAAAGGUAUGCUAAUACGGGAUGAUAUAUGAAAGUCGCAUGGCUUUUAUAUCAAAGCUCCGGCGGUACAGGAUGGACCCGCGUCUGAUUAGCUAGUUGGUAAGGUAACGGCUUACCAAGGCGACGAUCAGUAGCCGACCUGAGAGGGUGAUCGGCCACACUGGAACUGAGACACGGUCCAGACUCCUACGGGAGGCAGCAGUGGGGAAUAUUGCACAAUGGGCGAAAGCCUGAUGCAGCAACGCCGCGUGAGCGAUGAAGGCCUUCGGGUCGUAAAGCUCUGUCCUCAAGGAAGAUAAUGACGGUACUUGAGGAGGAAGCCCCGGCUAACUACGUGCCAGCAGCUGCGGUAAUACGUAGGGGGCUAGCGUUAUCCGGAAUUACUGGGCGUAAAGGGUGCGUAGGCGGUCUUUCAAGCCAGAAGUGAAAGGCUACGGCUCAACCGUAGUAAGCUUCUGGAACUGUAGGACUUGAGUGCAGGAGAGGAGAGUAGAAUUCCUAGUGUAGCGGUGAAAUGCGUAGAUAUUAGGAGGAAUACCAGUAGCGAAGGCGGCUCUCUGGACUGUAACUGACGCUGAGGCACGAAAGCGUGGGGAGCAAACAGG
This 720-nucleotide ribosomal RNA is filed under the name uncultured bacterium. Its description in RNAcentral is "bacterial SSU rRNA". It matches the Rfam family "Bacterial small subunit ribosomal RNA", at positions 28 to 776 of the family's 1533-position model. The record is from RNAcentral.